Molecule: ribosomal RNA, 395 nt
Filed under: uncultured bacterium
Lineage: Bacteria
Description: bacterial SSU rRNA
Rfam family: Bacterial small subunit ribosomal RNA
Source: RNAcentral
GUGCCAGCAGCCGCGGUAAUACGUAGGGGGCGAGCGUUGUUCGGAUUUACUGGGCGUAAAGAGCGCGUAGGCGGUUUGGCAAGUCGGAGGUGAAAGCCCUUGGCUCAACCAAGGAGCCGCGUCCGAUACUACCAGACUUGAGUGCAGGAGAGGAGAGCGGAACUCCCAGUGUAGCGGUGAAAUGCGUAGAUAUUGGGAAGAACACCGGUGGCGAAGGCGGCUCUCUGGACUGUUACUGACGCUGAGGCGCGAAAGCUAGGGGAGCAAACGGGAUUAGAUACCCCGGUAGUCCUAGCCGUAAACGAUGGGCACUAGGUGUGGGAGGUAUUGACCCCUUCCGUGCCGCAGCUAACGCAUUAAGUGCCCCGCCUGGGGAGUACGGCCGCAAGGUUGAA